UUGUUAGAUUAAUCUCUUGUGUUCUUGCGUGUAAUGGCUUGGUUUUAGGUUUUCUAACAAUGUAUUUUUAAAAUAUGCUUUUAUAUAUUUAAUGGUGUUUGUCGACAGAACAAAGGAAGAGGUUGACAAUAGCCAUGGAGCUUGUCGCUAACCCUUCAGUCAUCUUCAUGGAUGAACCAACAUCAAGAAGAGACUUGGUCUGGUCUAGUCAGUCCGGUCCUGAUUCCUGGUCAAGAGGUCGAACGCGGGUCAGGUCCAUAGGCUGAGGGAGAAGGGAGCGCUGGUCCGAGAGGUGGAGCAUCGUCUGGUCUGCAGGUGGGGGCAGAACAGAGAGGGGUGUGCACGGAAGGUUUGAGAGAUGGGUUUUGAAACGGAUUGGGUUCACCAUAAUUGAGGAAGGUCGCUGGAAUGGGUUUUAGGGGGGUGUUGAAAGGGCGGGGGCAACAGGUUUGGGGGAUGUGGAAUCGUCGGAUUCGUCAGAUGGGUUUUGUUGGUGAUUGGAUUCAUCAAAUGGGUUUUGGUGGUGAUUGGAUUCUGAUACCGUGAAGAUUUUUCAAAAACAGAUGGAUGGGCUUGGACAUAAAAUCGAUAUUAAAGAGAGAUGCUCUGGUACUAUCUGAGCACUAAGGUAUAAUGUACUUGCAUAUGUUCACUUGGAUAGUCCAAUCGAUCAAUCUGAACCGUUUAUUAA
Molecule: long non-coding RNA, 691 nt
Organism: Magnolia sinica
Lineage: Eukaryota; Viridiplantae; Streptophyta; Magnoliopsida; Magnoliales; Magnoliaceae
Exons: 2
Source: RefSeq, a predicted model, not a curated record